GGCAAGAUGGCCGAGCGGUCCAAGGCGCUAGGUUCAGGUUUACCUGACCAUCACAGUUCUCCGGAACUUCCUAGUCACGCAAGUGGCGUGGGUUCGAAUCCCACUCUUGUCA
This 112-nucleotide transfer RNA is filed under the name Aspergillus candidus. It matches the Rfam family "tRNA". From Rfam's summary of the family: Transfer RNA (tRNA) molecules are approximately 80 nucleotides in length. Their secondary structure includes four short double-helical elements and three loops (D, anti-codon, and T loops). RNAcentral also lists the same sequence under 2 other names. Lineage: Eukaryota; Fungi; Ascomycota; Eurotiomycetes; Eurotiales; Aspergillaceae. The record is from Rfam by way of RNAcentral.